RNAcentral lists this transfer RNA (76 nucleotides) under Corynebacterium glutamicum. RNAcentral describes it as "tRNA-Thr". It matches the Rfam family "tRNA". From Rfam's summary of the family: Transfer RNA (tRNA) molecules are approximately 80 nucleotides in length. Lineage: Bacteria; Bacillati; Actinomycetota; Actinomycetes; Mycobacteriales; Corynebacteriaceae. The record is from RNAcentral.
GCCGCUUUAGCUCAGUCGGUAGAGCGUCUCACUCGUAAUGAGAAGGUCGCGAGUUCGAUUCUCGCAAGCGGCUCCG